This 72-nucleotide transfer RNA is filed under the name Marmota monax (woodchuck). Its description in RNAcentral is "tRNA.Val". It matches the Rfam family "tRNA". Rfam says of the family: Transfer RNA (tRNA) molecules are approximately 80 nucleotides in length. Their secondary structure includes four short double-helical elements and three loops (D, anti-codon, and T loops). Lineage: Eukaryota; Metazoa; Chordata; Mammalia; Rodentia; Sciuridae. The record is from RNAcentral.
CAUGGUGUGACUCAGUGGUAGAGCACUUGCCUAACAUGUAUAACAAUCUGGGUUCAAUCCUCAGCACCACAC